This 330-nucleotide ribosomal RNA is filed under the name uncultured eukaryote. RNAcentral's name for it is "partial 18S ribosomal RNA". It matches the Rfam family "Eukaryotic small subunit ribosomal RNA", at positions 1470 to 1796 of the family's 1831-position model. The record is from RNAcentral.
CCCUUAGAUGUCCUGGGCCGCACGCGCGCUACACUGAUGCAUGCAACGAGUUUAUAACCUUGGCCUGAAAGGUCUGGGUAAUCUUUUGAACGUGCAUCGUGAUAGGGAUAGAUUAUUGCAAUUGUUAAUCUUGAACGAGGAAUUCCUAGUAAACGCGAGUCAUCAGCUCGCAUUGAUUACGUCCCUGCCCUUUGUACACACCGCCCGUCGCACCUACCGAUUGAAUGGUCCGGUGAAAUCUUCGGACCGUGACUUUGAUUUGUUUACUCAAAACGCUGUUACGGGAAGUUGAUUAAACCUUACCAUUUAGAGGAAGGUGAAGUCGUAACA